RNAcentral lists this long non-coding RNA (318 nucleotides) under Helianthus annuus (common sunflower). Its description in RNAcentral is "sRNA HanXRQr2_Chr12g0556741". Lineage: Eukaryota; Viridiplantae; Streptophyta; Magnoliopsida; Asterales; Asteraceae. The record is from RNAcentral.
GUAUAAACAUUUGUAAAUGAGUCAAAAAAGGCGGGAUCAUGUUCGUCAAUUAAACCACUGUCGUAGAAGUUGUCACCGGUAGAAACAAUGAAGUCGACAUCCAUUUUCUCCCCCACUUUGCCCAUCUGGAAAUUCCUCUGCGACCCCAGUCUCCGAUAGCCAAAAAGCUGAGAGAUCCGUUGGCUUUCACCGGAUGUUUGAAGCGAAGAAGAUCAGCCGCCACCAUAACCGUCAUUGCUACCAUAUAUAGUAGCAGAUGAACGGCUAGAGACUUGAUCAUAGCCAUGGCUUGUUAGGCUAGGAGAGGAAGUUAGAGAC